This 467-nucleotide ribosomal RNA is filed under the name uncultured bacterium. Its description in RNAcentral is "partial 16S ribosomal RNA". It matches the Rfam family "Bacterial small subunit ribosomal RNA", at positions 28 to 506 of the family's 1533-position model. The record is from RNAcentral.
GACGAACGCUGGCGGCGUGCUUAACACAUGCAAGUCGAACGGAAAGGCCCUGCUUUUGUGGGGUGCUCGAGUGGCGAACGGGUGAGUAACACGUGAGUAACCUGCCCUUGACUUUGGGAUAACUUCAGGAAACUGGGGCUAAUACCGGAUAGGAGCUCCUGCUGCAUGGUGGGGGUUGGAAAGUUUCGGCGGUUGGGGAUGGACUCGCGGCUUAUCAGCUUGUUGGUGGGGUAGUGGCUUACCAAGGCUUUGACGGGUAGCCGGCCUGAGAGGGUGACCGGCCACAUUGGGACUGAGAUACGGCCCAGACGACUACGGGAGGCAGCAGUGGGGAAUAGUGCACAAUGGGCGGAAGCCUGAUGCAGCAACGCCGCGUGCGGGAAGACGGCCUUCGGGUUGUAAACCGCUUUCGCCUGUGACGAAGCGUGAGUGACGGUAAUGGGUAAAGAAGCACCGGCUAACUACGU